GGAAUAUUGCGCAAUGGGCGAAAGCCUGACGCAGCGACGCCGCGUGAGGGAUGAAGGUCUUCGGAUUGUAAACCUCUUUCAGCAGGGACGAAGCGAAAGUGACGGUACCUGAAGAAGAAGCACCGGCUAACUACGUGCCAGCAGCCGCGGUAAUACGUAGGGUGCAAGCGUUGUCCGGAUUUAUUGGGCGUAAAGAGCUCGUAGGCGGUUAGACACGUCGGAUGUGAAAACUGGGGGCUCAACCCCCAGCCUGCAUUCGAUACGGUCUGACUAGAGUGUGGUAGGGGUAACUGGAAUUCCUGGCGUAGCGGUGAAAUGCGCAGAUAUCAGGAGGAACACCGAUGGCGAAGGCAGGUUACUGGGCCACCACUGACGCUGAGGAGCGAAAGCGUGGGGAGCAAACAGGAUUAGAUACCCUGGUAGUCCACGCCGUAAACGGUGGGCGCUAGAUGUGGGGACCAUUCCAUGGUUUCUGCGUCGCAGCUAACGCAUUAAGCGCCCCGCCUGGGGAGUACGGUCGCAAGACUAAAACUCAAAGGAAUUGACGG
RNAcentral lists this ribosomal RNA (548 nucleotides) under uncultured bacterium. Its description in RNAcentral is "bacterial SSU rRNA". It matches the Rfam family "Bacterial small subunit ribosomal RNA", at positions 358 to 916 of the family's 1533-position model. The record is from RNAcentral.